AUGCCUACGGGGGGCAGCAGUGGGGAAUAUUGCACAAUGGGGGGAACCCUGAUGCAGCGACGCCGCGUGAAGGAAGAAGUAUUUCGGUAUGUGAACUUCUAUCAGCAGGGAAGAAAAUGACGGUACCUGACUAAGAAGCCCCGGCUAACUACGUGCCAGCAGCCGCGGUAAUACGUAGGGGGCAAGCGUUAUCCGGAUUUACUGGGUGUAAAGGGAGCGUAGGCGGCGAUGCAAGUCAGAAGUGAAAGCCUGGGGCUCAACUCCGGGACUGCUUUUGAAACUGUGUUGCUGGAUUGCAGGCGAGG
This 305-nucleotide ribosomal RNA is filed under the name uncultured bacterium. RNAcentral describes it as "bacterial SSU rRNA". It matches the Rfam family "Bacterial small subunit ribosomal RNA", at positions 335 to 657 of the family's 1533-position model. The record is from RNAcentral.